AAAGCAAGUUAAAAUUCACAUAAAAGUGACAUAGCUUAAUCUGUCAUUUUAACCUUUGUCUAGAUGCAUUAUAAUUCUAGACACAAUAGCGACAUUGUGUCUAGAUGCUGUGAAAUGCAUUACACCUUUCGUGUAGACAACACCUUUCGUGUACACAGUGAGCAAGGUCUGUGCAAGACCAGUUAGUCAGCAAAGUCUGUGCUAGACCUUACGUGUAGACAGUGACUGAGGUCUGUGCAAGACCAGUUAGGCAGUGAGGUGUGCAACACCAGUAAGCUCUUACUAAAAAGCUAAAAUAAGCGGUUGUUUUAUCAACCAAAUGGCUUAUGAAAACAAGCCCAGUACAAUUAUUUAAA
This 356-nucleotide long non-coding RNA is filed under the name Mytilus galloprovincialis (Mediterranean mussel). The record is from RNAcentral. Lineage: Eukaryota; Metazoa; Mollusca; Bivalvia; Mytilida; Mytilidae.